CCUUAUAUGGAGAAAGAUCCCUAUCCUUCCCUGGCCACUAACCAACUUCCUACUCCACAGCGACAAGUUAGUUGGACGUAGGAAUCAACGGUGGAGAGCAUUCUACUCUCAGAAGGUCACACUACCUGGUCUUUUCUCUCUUACAUCCUGAGAAAGAAGAGGAAAAGGAGAAGAACACAACAUCAGUGAGCUUGACAUCUCUAGGCUCCAACUCGAUCCUGUUUAUUACAAUGGAGCUAACAAGGGCUGAAGAACCAAAGUAUAACUAGGCUAGAGUAGAGUUUUGGCAACAUAUUUGAUAAAACAGAGCUUUGGGAAAGCUAAUAAUGCUCUGGAAGAUUUGUUUGUGGAGCAAGAAAGCAGCACACGUGGGAGACUGAUGCAGUUGACAUGGAUAUGCUUGAUCCCUUGCUCUACUGAUUGGCAAGCCUGCAAAAGCUGCUAAGUAGCAGAAAGGUUUCCUCCUUUUAACAGCUGUUCAAGUAGGUUUCAGCUUCCAAGAAAGUGUAUAUGAAGACCAAGUCAGUGUGCAUCACAUGGAGCUCAGCUUGUUGCCAUCCAGGUUUGCAGACAAUAACAACAAUGUAAUCUGGCUAGCUUGCUUUCAAUUCCUGUUCUUGGGAGAGUGCUGUUGGCCCUGUGGAUCAUGCAAUUUCUAUCUUGUGCCAAGAUGACAAGUACGUGCACUUCCAACACUGGCAUUCCCACAGGGCCAAUCUCAUAUGUGCCUUUUCUCGGCUAUCUCAGACUGCUGCUGCUCAUGCCAAGACAAUGCAGUCCCCAGACAGGGCUUCUGAGGAGUGAGCUUCUUACAGUUGACUUGCCUGACUAUCUGUAUCCAGAGAUACCGGCCACGUGACAGAUGCUCUGCCACCUGGCUGGUCGGAGGACACACCACAUGCCAAUCAACAUUUGGUCCCGCCCAACUAAUCAAUGCACACCUAAAUUAUUGGUCACCUUAAUUGGAUUAUUGCGCCCAGCCCCAUGCUAUAAAAGGUUAUACUUGCCCCUGGCUCGGUCUCUCUUACAGACCACCUCAUUGAAGGUGAUUGGAUCAACAAUGUGCAGUGCUUGAAGGGCAGAAAGUGGCAUGCAUAAAUGACCAUGGGUCAAUCCUGUGAGACAAAGUGUCACUUUGCAGGCAACAAUGGCGCCAACAUUUCUCUUUGCCAAGUGGAUAGCGACUGAUUGCAAACUCAGUGCUCCUGCAGCAAUAAGCUAUGACCCAUGCUAAUCGAUUAGCACACCAUUAGGAAUGGGUGACCCCUGGAAAACUAACAGUUAUCUAACUGAAAGAGAUUAAUCACUUAGAGGAACAAAAAGGUAAUAACAAAUGGUUGCUUUGUGGAGAAUACUCUACCUUAAGACAAUCUUCCUAGCACACAAGUUAGGGAUCCACUCUUGAAUGUACUACAGGGCAUACCAGGUCACUGCAGGAAAUGGAAUCUUGAAACUCGGAUUCCACUCCCCAUGAGACUCAUUUACUUAUAUGACCCCUGAUUUCUCAGAUCAAUAACAAAAGCUGGAAGAAGUGUGAAAGGACAUUUAUCUCCUUAAAGUGAACACUCUGUAGUGCACUGAUGAAGUAUGGUGAAUACUUCAGACAUCCUGAUAAUAAAAGAAUCAUGAAAGCUCCUGAAAAAGUUGGCAUUAACCAUGAGAAAAUUUGUGAUCCUACACCAGAAACACCCUUUCAGUUUGUGUAGCUUUGAGGAGACAGAAUGCCACAUACGUGCAGUUAAUCACUCCUUAAAGCUUGUAAAACCAAGAGUUCUCCUGAAUCCAAGAUGGAACUGCUGAAACACAGCCAUGUGUUGCAGGCAGCUUACAAAGUUUCUUAAUAUACUUCUGAACUACUUUCACUGCAAUCUGCAGCCUGUAAUUUCCCUUUAAGUAGCAUACUUUUGAACCGUCUCAAUGAGCUUGCGAUUUCAUAAUCUUCUGAAGGGUUCAGUGGACUCACACUCAAGCAUGCAGGUGCAGCUCUUUUAAGAUUAUGACUGUACAUUGCCACAGCCAGAUAAGAAGGAAGCAGGGAGGACUCCAAGCCAGACAAAAUUCUGGGGCAUGAAACUUCCUCUGUCUGGCAUCUGGUUAGCAAAUGUACAUUCGCUGAAGAACAAGAUUGAGGACCUAAAGCAAGGAUUGCUGUAUCAGAGGGAAAUGAGGAAUUGUGUUCUGUGUUUCAUGAAGACAUAGCUCACUCCAGACAUACUGGAUACAUUGAUAAGACCUGAGGGCUUCUUGAUACAUUGAAUGGACUCAUCUGCUGAUUCGGAAAGGCAAAAGGCGCGGGGUCUGUGUUUUGUGGUGCUCAGACACAGCCAUCGUCGCAUUCUUGUUCCCCCAACCUGCAACAUCUAAUGAUUAAGUGCCCACCAUUCUAUUUACAAGAAAGUUUUGCUUCAUGAUCCUGACUGCAGAUUACAUGCCACCAAAGGCCGAGGUUCAGCAGGGACUCAACAUACACUUAUGCCACCAUCAGCCAACAAUGAACAGCCGACUCCGAUGCUUUUCAAAUAAUUGUUGGAGACUUAAAUCAGGCUUGUUUGAAGAGAUCUCUGCCCAAUUAUUAACACCAUAUCACAGCACUAGGGGUCCCAACACACUUGAUCACUUCUAUACUACAACUAGGAAUGCCUACCAUUCCAUGCCUAGUCCACAUUUUGGGAAAUCUGAUCACUUGGCUGCCCUAUCUGCAUACAGGCAGAGGCUAAAGAGCAAAGCUCCAGAGGUAAGGAUAACAAAGAAGUAGUCAUGGGAGGCAGAGGAGUGACUAUAGGAUUGCUUCAAGUCAAUGGAAACAAGGUUGAAAUAUGAAGGUAAGCUAGCCAAUAAAAUAAAAGAGGAUACUGAAAGUCUAUUCAAAUAUAUACAGUAAAAGAGAGAUGAGAGUGGCUAUUGUUCUGCUGGCGAGAUAUUAAUGUGGGACAAAAAAUGGCAGACAAACUUAAUAAAUAUUUUGCAUCUGUCUUUACUGUGGAAGACACUAAGAGUGUACCAGAAAUUCAAUAGUGUUAGGGGGCAAAAAGAGUGCAGUUGCUAUUACUAAGGAGAAGGUGCUUGGGAAGCUGAAGGGUCUAAAGGUAGAUAAGUCACCUGGACAGAUGGACUACUCCCCAGGAUUUCAAAGCAAGCAACUGAAGUGAUUGUGCCGGCAUUAGUAAUGAUCUUUCAAGAAUCACUGGAUUCUGGCAUGGCUUCAGAGGACUGGGAAAUUGCAAAUAUCACUCUACCCUUUUCGAAGGGAGGGAGGCAUAAGAAAGGAAAUUAGAGGCUAGUUAGCCUGACUUCAGAGGUCAGAAAGAAGUCCAUUAUUAAAGAUAAUAAAGUAGGUCAACAUUAGCAUGGUUUCCAUAAGGGAAAAUUUUGCCUGAUAAAUCUGUUGCAAUUCUUUGAAGAAAUAAUAGGCAGGAUAGACAAAGGAAAGAGUGGAUGUUGUUUACCUGGAGUUUCAGAAAGCUUUUCACAAAGGACCACACAUUAGAUUGCUUAACAUGAUAGGAGCCCAUGCUAUUACAGGGAAGAUACUAGAAUAGAUAGAAGAUUGGCUGACUAACAGGAGAUAUAGAUUGGAAACAAAGGUUGACUUGUCUGGUUGGAUGCCCUGACUAGUAGUGUUUUGCAGGGAUUGGUAUUGGGACCGCUUCUUUCAACUUUAAAUGUCAAUGACUUGGAUUAUGAAAUUAAUGGCUUUGUGGCCAAGUUUGCGAAUGAUGGGUGGAGAGGCAGGUAGUAUUGAGGAAACAGGGAGUCUGCAGAAGGAGUUGGACAGAUUGGGAGAAUGGGCAAAUAAGUGGCAGAAUGAAAUACAAAGUAGGGUAGUGUAUGGUCAUGCACUUUGGUAGAAAGAAUAAAGACGUAGAAUAUUUUCUAACUGGGGAGAAAAUUUACAAAUCGGAGGUGCAAAGGUUCUUGGGAGUUCUUGUACAUGACACCCUAAAAGUUAACUUGCAGGUUGAGUUGGUGGUAAGGAAGGCAAAUGCAAUGUUAGCAUUCCUUUCAAGAGGUCUAGCAUACAAGAGCAGGGAUGUGAUGCUGAGGCUUUAUGAAGCACUGGUGAGGCCUCACCUUGAGUAUCCUGAACAGUUUUGGGCUUCUUAUCUAAGAAAAGAUGUGCUGACAUUGGAGAGAGUUCAGAGGAAGUUCACAAGGAUGAUUCCAGGAAUGAAAGGGUUAUCAUAUGAGGAAUGUUUGAUGGCUUUGGGCCUGUACUCACUGGAAUUUAGAAGGACUGGGUGGGAGGGGAUUGCACUUUGAGAGGACUAGAAUACAAAACCAAGGAUGUAAUGCUGAGGCUUCAUAAGGAAUUGGUCAGACCACAUUUGGAGUAUUUUUGCUAGUUUUUGCCUCUUACCUAUCAUGAAAAGUUACACUGGCAAUGGAGAGAGUUCAGAGGAUUCAGGGAAUGAAAGGGUUAGUAUAUGAGUGUUUGAUGUCUCUGGGCCUGUACUCACUGGACUUUACAAGAGUAAGGGAGGAAUCUCAUUGAAACUGAUAUAACAUUCAGGGGCCUAGAUAGAGUGGAUGUGGAAAGGAUAUUUCUUAUAGUGGUGAGUCAGGGAUCAGAGCACACAGGCUCAGAAUAGAGAGAUGUUCAUUUAGAACAGAGGUAAGGAGGAAUUUCUUCAGCAGGAGGAUAAUGAAUCUGUGGAAUUCAUUACUGCAGGUGGUUGUAGGCCAAAUUACUGAGUAUAUUUAAUGCAAAGAUUGAUAGGUCCUUGAUUAGUCAGACAUCAAAGGUUAUGGGGAGAAGGCAGGAGAAUGGAAUUGAGAAGCUAUUUUAUAUCUAGGGAUUGCUCCGUUACGGAGAGGAGAGACUGUCUUUUGAUCAUUGGUAAGAUCGCUCUGCUGCCGGAGAGAAGAGAUUGCCUUUUUAUCCCUGGUGAGAUCGCCCUGCUACAGAGAGAAGAGACUGAUUUUUGAUCGCUAGGGGAUCACUCUGCUGCUGGAUAGGGGAGAUUGCCUUUUGAUCACUGAGGAACCACUCUGCUACAGAGAGAGGAUACUGCCUUUUGAUCGCUAAGAGAUCGCUCUGCUGCUGGAGAGGGGAGACUGCCUUUGUAUUCCUGGUGAGAUCGCUCUGCUGCAGAGAGACGAGACUGCUUUUUGAUUGCUGGGAGAUCAAUCUGCUGCUGGAGAGGGGACAUUGCUUUUUGAUUGCUGAGGAAUCGCUCUGCUACCAAAGAGGGGACACUGCCUUUUGACUGCUGGUGGGAUCGCUCGCUGCUGGAGUGGGAAAGGCCUGCCGCUGUGCUUGGAGGAUGUUACCCAGAUUUUCUGCAUUUUGGAUAUGGACUUGGACAUAGACUUUUUUCAGUAUUAUAACUUUUUACAUUCUGCGUUUUUUGCCCGAUUGUUCUUAUUGUUCUUGCAUUUUUGUGUGCGGGAGUGAGGGAUUUGGGGGCUUUGAUGUGCCUGUUCUGAUUUUGAUCAUUUUUUUGUGUAGUGAGAAGGGAUUUAUGGGUUGAUGAUUGUGCUGUUAUUCUUUCUUGAUUUUGUGGCUAUCUGGAGAAGAAGAAUUUCAGAGUUGUAUACUUUGUUAAUAAAUGAACCUUGAAUCUUUGAUACACCAGCCUUGACAGAAUAGCAGAGCAGACUCAAUAGGCUGAAUGGCCUAAUUCUGCUCCUAUGCCUUACGGUCAUUUGGAAACUCAAAAUGUACUGAAGUAAUUUAACAUUGCUCUAUAGCUAGAGCUAAUUUUUGGUUCAUUUACUGACAAGCAUGCCUCUUACCCAGUAACAUGUUGAAUAUGGUUAAAAAAAAAUUCCUCCUUAACCAGUGUGCUGAUUCAAACCGUUCAAAGUAAUAGUUAGGAGCACGUGUGCAAUCUUUGACAGUGCUUUGAUGGAAAUGCUUUUCAAAAAUAAGUUUUUGUUCUGUAUUAUUUAUUCCACUAAUAUUUUGAAUUUUCUGAAGAAAUAGUUGUUCAGGUUACAAUGACCUAUGCCAACAGAUCAUUAUCACAUUUCUUAAUGCAUUUUAGAAAUGGCCUUCACAUGUUCCUGGGACCAUGUUUUUAAAUUUUACAUAAAACUAACAACUCUUGGUAUGCAAUAAACUGCAGUGGAAGAAUGUAGGAACAAAUUGAAAGAUGAUCUUUCGUUUUGCAACAUUGAAAAAUACCAUAUUCAUUUCAAAGCAUUGAUUAAAAGGGAGGGUUUUGACUUAGAGGUGCAACAGGAAACUUUGUAUGAGUACACAAGUAAGUUGUGAACUGCAAAUGAAAGACUGAAUAAUAUCAUGCUCUCUCAAUUGUACAUCAUGAUUAAGUCUUUCAGAAUUGUGUCAAGAAAUUUUAACAAGAAAUGUACUAGUCUGUUUAGUAUCUUUAUGAAUUGAACUCUGUUUUAUUUCUUUCUAUAGUUCAGACAUAGGAGGAAAUAAUCAUCAUAAUCUAAUACUAAAAUUUGGAUAAAAAUAUAAGGCUCAGACGCUAUGUAAUCUGUA
Long non-coding RNA from Hypanus sabinus (Atlantic stingray), 6451 nucleotides. RefSeq lists it as uncharacterized. The record is from RefSeq and is a predicted model, not a curated record. NCBI's taxonomy places the organism in Eukaryota, Metazoa, Chordata, Chondrichthyes, Myliobatiformes, Dasyatidae. The transcript has 4 exons.